AGAGUUUGAUCAUGGCUCAGAAUGAACGCUGGCGGCGUGCUUAACACAUGCAAGUCGAACGGUAACAGGGACUUCGGUCUGCUGACGAGUGGCGCACGGGUGAGUAAUGUAUAGGUAACGCACCCCUCAGUCUGGGAUAGCCACUGGAAACGGUGAUUAAUACUGGAUACUCCUUCUUAUAUGAUGUAAGAAGGGAAAGGUUUUUCGCUAAGGGAUCGGCCUAUAUUGUAUCAGCUUGUUGGUGAGGUAAUGGCUCACCAAGGCUAUGACACAUAGCGGGUUUGAGAGGAUGAUCCGCCACACUGGUACUGAGACACGGACCAGACUCCUACGGGAGGCAGCAGUGAGGAAUAUUGCACAAUGGGGGAGACCCUGAUGCAGCAACGCCGCGUGGAGGAUGACGCAUUUCGGUGUGUAAACUCCUUUUAUAAGGGAAGAAAAUGACGGUACCUUAUGAAUAAGCUCCGGCUAACUCCGUGCCAGCAGCCGCGGUAAUACGGAGGGAGCAAGCGUUAUUCGGAAUCACUGGGCGUAAAGGACGCGUAGGCUGGUCUCUAAGUCAGAUGUGAAAUCCAAUGGCUCAACCAUUGAACUGCAUUUGAAACUGGGGACCUAGAGUAUGGGAGGGGCAGAUGGAAUUAGUGGUGUAGGGGUAAAAUCCGUAGAUAUCACUAGGAAUACCGAAAGCGAAGGCGAUCUGCUGGAACAUUACUGACGCUGAGGCGUGAAAGCGUGGGGAGCAAACAGGAUUAGAUACCCUGGUAGUCCACGCCCUAAACGAUGAACACUAGUCGUCGGGGAGCUUGUCUCUUCGGUGAUGCACUUAACAGAUUAA
Molecule: ribosomal RNA, 835 nt
Filed under: bacterium endosymbiont of Osedax mucofloris
Lineage: Bacteria
Description: bacterial SSU rRNA
Rfam family: Bacterial small subunit ribosomal RNA
Source: RNAcentral